GUGGAGCCUGCGGCUUAAUUUGACUCAACACGGGAAACCUCACCAGGCCCGGACACCAGAAGGAUUGACAGAUUAAGAGCUCUUUCUCGAUUUGGUGGGUGGUGGUGCAUGGCCGUUCUUAGUUGGUGGAGUGAUUUGUCUGGUUAAUUCCGGUAACGAACGAGACUCUGGCCUACUAAAUAGUCGACGGGCGUUUUGGUGCAUGGGCCCCGUUCGACACAGUCUUCUUAGAGGGAUGAGCAGCGAGUAUAGCUGCAGGAGAUUGAGCAAUAACAGGUCUGUGAUGCCCUUAGAUGUCCUGGGCCGCACGCGCGCUACACUGAAUGGGUUAGCGGGUGGUCCUUCUCCGAGAGGAGCGGGAAAUCGCUUGAAAACCAUUCGUGAUAGGGACUGGGGCUUGCAAUUUCUUCCCACGAACGAGGAAUUCCCAGUAAGCGCAAGUCAUCAGCUUGCGUUGAUUAAGUCCCUGCCCUUUGUACACACCGCCCGUCGCUACUACCGAUUGAAUGAUUUAGUGAGGCCUUCGGACUGGCGGUCUUGGACUGGGACGGCGGCGUUCUCCCAGCAAUGGGGUGCCGUCGGCCCGCCUGGACGAGCCGGAAAGAUGUCCAAACUUGAUCAUUUAGAGGAAGUAAAAGUCGUAACAAGGUUUCC
Molecule: ribosomal RNA, 654 nt
Filed under: Brucecaris tenuis
Lineage: Eukaryota; Metazoa; Arthropoda; Malacostraca; Decapoda; Palaemonidae
Description: SSU rRNA
Rfam family: Eukaryotic small subunit ribosomal RNA
Source: RNAcentral